This 732-nucleotide ribosomal RNA is filed under the name uncultured Bacillus sp. RNAcentral's name for it is "bacterial SSU rRNA". It matches the Rfam family "Bacterial small subunit ribosomal RNA", at positions 128 to 843 of the family's 1533-position model. The record is from RNAcentral. Lineage: Bacteria; Bacillati; Bacillota; Bacilli; Caryophanales; Bacillaceae.
GCCUGUAAGACUGGGAUAACUCCGGGAAACCGGAGCUAAUACCGGAUAGUUCCUUGAACCGCAUGGUUCAAGGAUGAAAGACGGUUUCGGCUGUCACUUACAGAUGGACCCGCGGCGCAUUAGCUAGUUGGUGAGGUAACGGCUCACCAAGGCGACGAUGCGUAGCCGACCUGAGAGGGUGAUCGGCCACACUGGGACUGAGACACGGCCCAGACUCCUACGGGAGGCAGCAGUAGGGAAUCUUCCGCAAUGGACGAAAGUCUGACGGAGCAACGCCGCGUGAGUGAUGAAGGUUUUCGGAUCGUAAAGCUCUGUUGUUAGGGAAGAACAAGUGCAAGAGUAACUGCUUGCACCUUGACGGUACCUAACCAGAAAGCCACGGCUAACUACGUGCCAGCAGCCGCGGUAAAUACGUAGGUGGCAAGCGUUGUCCGGAAUUAUUGGGCGUAAAGGGCUCGCAGGCGGUUUCUUAAGUCUGAUGUGAAAGCCCCCGGCUCAACCGGGGAGGGUCAUUGGAAACUGGGAAACUUGAGUGCAGAAGAGGAGAGUGGAAUUCCACGUGUAGCGGUGAAAUGCGUAGAGAUGUGGAGGAACACCAGUGGCGAAGGCGACUCUCUGGGUCUGUAACUGACGCUGAGGAGCGAAAGCGUGGGGAGCGAACAGGAUUAGAUACCCUGGUAGUCCACGCCGUAACGAUGAGUGCUAAGUGUUAGGGGGUUUCCGCCCCCUUUA